GAGAGAGGCCCGUGGCAAUGGAAACUGCUAAUUUUCGCUACCUUGGUUAGACUCCGAGGCUCACUCG
This 67-nucleotide transfer RNA is filed under the name Johnius borneensis (sharpnose hammer croaker). Its description in RNAcentral is "tRNA-Ser". The record is from RNAcentral. Lineage: Eukaryota; Metazoa; Chordata; Actinopteri; Sciaenidae.